Molecule: long non-coding RNA, 1604 nt
Organism: Diospyros lotus (date-plum)
Lineage: Eukaryota; Viridiplantae; Streptophyta; Magnoliopsida; Ericales; Ebenaceae
Exons: 5
Source: RefSeq, a predicted model, not a curated record
UUCCCUCCCAUACAAGCACAUCCCCCUCCGCUGCAAGCCUAUCACCCUCACCUACAAAAAUAAUAAAAAAAUAAAAAAACCUACCUACAAACCCAUCCCGUCUUCUCUCCUGUUUCCCAUGCGCCCUGCAAACCCAUCCCUCCCCCUGUCAAUCUCGAAAUCCCCUCCCUGGCUCCCUCCUUCCCCCAAAAUUUUUUCCAUUUCCCUCCCUCCUGCAAACCCAUCCCAUUUUCCCAUCUCCCCUGCCAAGCCCCUCUCCGUGUCCCUCACCACUCACCAUAAGCGCCCUCGCCUUCGUUGCCCUCGCCUACCCUCGUCGCUCCCUCGCUGGCCGCAGUCGCUCAUCACCGUAGCCUAGUCGCCCUCAACUUCGUUGCUCGCCCGCGCUUGCCGUCGCCGCCCUAGGUCUCCCCGCUCACCGUUGCCGCCCUCACCUUCUCCCUCGGCCUCUGUCGCUCGCCCUCACCUUCUCCCUCAGCCUCUAUCGCUUGUCGUCGGCGCCCUCACCGUCCCCGUCGCCCCUGCCAAUGCCACUUUCUGGUAUAUGUAAUAUGGCACACAGAUCAUCAUAUGGUCAGUCUAUGCGUCGUCGUCAGUUCAGAGACACUGAUGGGGAGGACCACAUUGGGGGACUUUCAUCUCUGUCCACUGAUAUGAGAUUUGAUUCUCCUAGCCCACAGACACCCCACCCCAACUAUGAUGGGCCUUCUUCUACGCCUACUGAAGUCGGGGGUUCAUCCACACCCACUGCCACCCCUGAUAAUCAUUCGAUGAUAUGUCCAUUGGGUUUUUUAUAAGUAUCCCUUAUCUUACUAAUCAAUUUUAACUUAAACAGAGAAAUUUUCAUUCUAACACAUUAUUUUACAAAUUAAUGUGUGUUUUAACAGGUUUGAUAAUAAUUUAUGCAAACGAGAUAUUUCUCGAAUUAUCCAAAGUAAGUUUGAGGGGCCAUACCCGAGUUGGAAGAAGACAGAUCCUGCUGUCAGGGAGAUGUGUCAAGACAAUUUGGUCGCCCACCUACACAAGCUGAGUUGUUCCUCACGACACAUAGAAGGAAAGACAAUUCCGAAUUCGUUGAUAGGAGGUCUGAGGAUACUUAUGCUAACUUUCAAACGCGACAGCACGAGGCAUCAUCACAGUCAUCGGCUGUUGGCCAUUCAGAAGAUAGUGAUGCUGGCCAGCCCUCGCAUCCAGCUAUUGACGAUAGAUCCUUAUGGUUGGAGGUUACGGGCGGUAAGAAAAAGGGUCGUGUUUAUGGAAUGGGGUCAGAAGCACAUAUAAUCCCCGGUUCCUACUAUGUAUCGACACCACAGCCACCGCCACCGCCACAGCCGUCGUCGUCCGUCUCACUAUCAGAUCAGACACAAGAAGCUAUUUGGGCAGCAAUAGAACCCUUCAACCAACGAAUCUCGCCUAUUGAAGAUAGAUUACAUCACCGUUCUUCAUAUUCGUCGCCCCAGAACCCUUCGGAUCAUUAGCAUGAUCCAUUAUUUGUAUGGAUAUGUAAUAUGGAAUUGUAGACGAUUAUGGAUUUGUAGAUGUUAUUUGUAUGCAUGAUAUGUUAUUUGUAAUUGUUAUCAGGUUGAAUUUUAAUUUUUUUUAAU